RNAcentral lists this long non-coding RNA (346 nucleotides) under Nicotiana benthamiana. RNAcentral's name for it is "long non-coding RNA (NBEN_LNC023844)". The record is from RNAcentral. Lineage: Eukaryota; Viridiplantae; Streptophyta; Magnoliopsida; Solanales; Solanaceae.
AAAUCCGUACAUAUCCUGUAACACAGUCAUCACCAUCCUGGAAGUAUUUUAUUUCCUGGUAGUGAAUUGGGACUUCUAUCCCAAAAUGGCCACGCAAACGAGUUCUCAAAUUUAAAGCAUCAUUAUCACUGAGAAUCCUAAGGCUAGCAGGCAAACCAACCAUUGCCAUACUUGGACACAUUUUAUUUCUAUAUACAAGGUAUUAUCACUGAGAAUCCUAAGGCUAGCAGGCAAACCAACCAUUGCCAUACUUGGACACAUGUCAGGAGGGCAACCAAGCGCUGUUCCCCAUGCAGUGGCCAACAUUUGCCCCAUUUCAACCACAGCAUUAUGAUUCCUCAUCCUA